CCUACGGGAGGCAGCAGUGAGGAAUAUUGGUCAAUGGACGAGAGUCUGAACCAGCCAAGUAGCGUGAAGGAUGACUGCCCUAUGGGUUGUAAACUUCUUUUAUAUGGGAAUAAAAUGUUCCACGUGUGGGAUUUUGUAUGUACCAUAUGAAUAAGGAUCGGCUAACUCCGUGCCAGCAGCCGCGGUAAUACGGAGGAUCCGAGCGUUAUCCGGAUUUAUUGGGUUUAAAGCGAGCGUAGGUGGAUUGUUAAGUCAGUUGUGAAAGUUUGCGGCUCAACCGUAAAAUUGCAGUUGAAACUGGCAGUCUUGAGUACAGUAGAGGUGGGCGGAAUUCGUGGUGUAGCGGUGAAAUGCUUAGAUAUCACGAAGAACUCCGAUUGCGAAGGCAGUUCACUGGACUGCAACUGACACUGAGGCUCGAAAGUGUGGGUAUCAAACAGGAUUAGAUACCCCUGUAGUC
This 460-nucleotide ribosomal RNA is filed under the name uncultured bacterium. RNAcentral describes it as "partial 16S ribosomal RNA". It matches the Rfam family "Bacterial small subunit ribosomal RNA", at positions 338 to 795 of the family's 1533-position model. The record is from RNAcentral.